UUCCUGUUGCUACCUGUCUAGAGCU
This 25-nucleotide non-coding RNA is filed under the name Rattus norvegicus (Norway rat). The record is from RNAcentral. Lineage: Eukaryota; Metazoa; Chordata; Mammalia; Rodentia; Muridae.